RNAcentral lists this long non-coding RNA (1445 nucleotides) under Zea mays. RNAcentral describes it as "long non-coding RNA (ZMAY_LNC003463)". The record is from RNAcentral. Lineage: Eukaryota; Viridiplantae; Streptophyta; Magnoliopsida; Poales; Poaceae.
UUGAGAAAAACACACUGUACAUGUCCAGCUACCAAAAAAAAAAACAACCGUCCAAAGUACAGAGUCCAGACUCCAGACAAAUGCACAAGAUAUCUGUAGUCUAGACCAGUUGCCUACGUUUCAGAUAGUGGAAUAGGCUAACAUUUUGACCUAAGUAACGCUAACUCGAAACGUGCAUGAAAAUCAACUAGGUUGAACCUUUCAAUGUUUGACUGAAAAUCAUUGCGUCAGAGAAAAAUGAAAACAUACAUAUGUGAUAUAAUAGCGACCAUGCAUGGAAGAGUUGUUUGCAAUGCAUAGGUACAGCGAUUGUAUAGGAGACAAGCAAAUGGUUUAUAAUACAAAACAUCAUUCUACAGCAAGAGAUGCAAUCGGAAUAUAAUAUAACACAAUACAAAUGAAAAUGAAAAAGGAAAAAGAUUAAAACACAAAACAUCGGAUCUCACUGACCUUUAGUUUAUUGAGCUAGCUGUUCCAUGCAUCCAAUCUGUAGCUUCUCUUCUUGUCCUCGAUUAAUCAUCGCUAAAACUUCUUAAAACGCCUCAUGACUUCCGAUCCAGUGCAUCCUCCUCACGGCGUAAACGCAUGCAUUAUACUAUAGCGCCUAGAUGAAAGGUCUCUCCUAUGAACGAUAAUGCAGCAUGCGUGCAUGUACAAGUCUCAGGCUCAGCUCCAUAGCCAGGGCCGUUCCUGUGGGGGUGCCGAAGGUGCGGUCGCACCAGGCCCCCAAGAUCAGAGGGCCCCCUAGUCACUAGACGCUAGCACCUUUUUCUAUUAAACCUAUCUAUUCUAGACACAAAUACGCAAUGAGUGAUGCGCUAUCAAUCAGUCUCGUUUAGAUUGUUAAACUAAUGUCUCAAUGGCUUAUCGAAUACUCCUUCAUUUCAAAAUAGUAUUUGUUUUAGCUCUUGAUUUUUAUGUUUAUAUUCAACUAGAUGAUGAUGAAUCCACUAAAGAAGCAAAACAAAUUUUAUUUUGAUAUAGAGUAUUAUUUACUAUACACAUGAUGGUUGCAUCGUCAAAGAGAAGCUUUUUAAAAUUGAAAUGUUUUUGUGGACUAUUUAUGGUCAACAAUAACUUAAGAGAUGUUAAAUGACUUGGCGAUUCUAUAUAUCGAAAAAAGUUGUUGUAUGAAAUUGAUCUCAACGAUAUAAGUGAUGACUUCGUAUCAGAUGAGAAGUAAGUGUUUUUGGCUAUAUUUUACAUUUGUUAUCUUAUAAACAUAAAAAAAGUGUAUAAUAAUUUUUAUACGUCAAAUAUUUAAUAUGUAUGUAUAAUUAUAUAUAUUUGUGUGUGGAUGGACCCUCCAUAUCGGAUUUCGCACUGGGCCCCUGAAAAGUCAGGAACGGCCCUGUCCAUAGCCUAGCUUCAACCCCCGGUUUCCGAUGGCAAGAGCUUGUCGGCACACCAUUUGAAUCUCUGUGAUGAUGUGGAUGCGAAUCAGG